UACGAAGGGUGCAAGCGUUAAUCGGAAUUACUGGGCGUAAAGCGCGCGUAGGUGGUUCAGUAAGUUGGAAGUGAAAUCCCCGGGCUCAACCUGGGAACUGCUUUCAAAACUGCUGAGCUAGAGUACGGUAGAGGGAGGUGGAAUUUCCUGUGUAGCGGUGAAAUGCGUAGAUAUAGGAAGGAACACCAGUGGCGAAGGCGACCACCUGGACUGAUACUGACACUGAGGUGCGAAAGCGUGGGGAGCAAACAGG
RNAcentral lists this ribosomal RNA (253 nucleotides) under uncultured bacterium. RNAcentral describes it as "partial 16S ribosomal RNA". It matches the Rfam family "Bacterial small subunit ribosomal RNA", at positions 524 to 776 of the family's 1533-position model. The record is from RNAcentral.